Molecule: ribosomal RNA, 278 nt
Filed under: uncultured bacterium
Lineage: Bacteria
Description: partial 16S ribosomal RNA
Rfam family: Bacterial small subunit ribosomal RNA
Source: RNAcentral
UACGGGGGGAGCAAGCGUUGUUCGGAUUUACUGGGCGUAAAGGCGCGUAGGCGGCCUCUGCAAGUCGACUGUGAAAUCUCCGGGCUUAACCCGGAACGGUCAGCCGAUACUGCAGGGCUAGAGUGCAGAAGGGGCAACUGGGAAUUCUCGGUGUAGCGGUGAAAUGCGUAGAGAUCGGGAGGAACACCAGUGGCGAAGGCGGCUCGCUGGGGCCGGCACCUGACGCUGAGGACGCGAAAGCGUGGGGAGCGAAACAGGAUAGAUCCGUGUAGCUCCAG